This 1369-nucleotide ribosomal RNA is filed under the name uncultured bacterium. RNAcentral describes it as "bacterial SSU rRNA". It matches the Rfam family "Bacterial small subunit ribosomal RNA", at positions 28 to 1381 of the family's 1533-position model. The record is from RNAcentral.
GACGAACGCUGGCGGCGUGCCUAAUACAUGCAAGUAGAACGCUGAAGAGAGGAGCUUGCUCUUCUUGGAUGAGUUGCGAACGGGUGAGUAACGCGUAGGUAACCUGCCUUGUAGCGGGGGAUAACUAUUGGAAACGAUAGCUAAUACCGCAUAACAAUGGAUGACACAUGUCAUUUAUUUGAAAGGGGCAAUUGCUCCACUACAAGAUGGACCUGCGUUGUAUUAGCUAGUAGGUGAGGUAAUGGCUCACCUAGGCGACGAUACAUAGCCGACCUGAGAGGGUGAUCGGCCACACUGGGACUGAGGCACGGCCCAGACUCCUACGGGAGGCAGCAGUAGGGAAUCUUCGGCAAUGGGGGCAACCCUGACCGAGCAACGCCGCGUGAGUGAAGAAGGUUUUCGGAUCGUAAAGCUCUGUUGUAAGUCAAGAACGGGUGUGAGAGUGGAAAGUUCACACUGUGACGGUAGCUUACCAGAAAGGGACGGCUAACUACGUGCCAGCAGCCGCGGUAAUACGUAGGUCCCGAGCGUUGUCCGGAUUUAUUGGGCGUAAAGCGAGCGCAGGCGGUUUGAUAAGUCUGAAGUUAAAGGCUGUGGCUCAACCAUAGUUCGCUUUGGAAACUGUCAAACUUGAGUGCAGAAGGGGAGAGUGGAAUUCCAUGUGUAGCGGUGAAAUGCGUAGAUAUAUGGAGGAACACCGGUGGCGAAAGCGGCUCUCUGGUCUGUAACUGACGCUGAGGCUCGAAAGCGUGGGGAGCGAACAGGAUUAGAUACCCUGGUAGUCCACGCCGUAAACGAUGAGUGCUAGGUGUUGGAUCCUUUCCGGGAUUCAGUGCCGCAGCUAACGCAUUAAGCACUCCGCCUGGGGAGUACGACCGCAAGGUUGAAACUCAAAGGAAUUGACGGGGGCCCGCACAAGCGGUGGAGCAUGUGGUUUAAUUCGAAGCAACGCGAAGAACCUUACCAGGUCUUGACAUCCCGAUGCCAUUUCUAGAGAUAGAAAGUUACUUCGGUACAUCGGUGACAGGUGGUGCAUGGUUGUCGUCAGCUCGUGUCGUGAGAUGUUGGGUUAAGUCCCGCAACGAGCGCAACCCCUAUUGUUAGUUGCCAUCAUUCAGUUGGGCACUCUAGCGAGACUGCCGGUAAUAAACCGGAGGAAGGUGGGGAUGACGUCAAAUCAUCAUGCCCCUUAUGACCUGGGCUACACACGUGCUACAAUGGUUGGUACAACGAGUUGCGAGUCGGUGACGGCGAGCUAAUCUCUUAAAGCCAAUCUCAGUUCGGAUUGUAGGCUGCAACUCGCCUACAUGAAGUCGGAAUCGCUAGUAAUCGCGGAUCAGCACGCCGCGGUGAAUACGUUCCCGGGCCU